AUUGCAGGACACUUUGAGCACUGAUUAUUCGAACGCGCAUUGCGGCCUCGGGUGUCAACCCGGGGCCUCGCCUGUCUGAGGGUCG
This 85-nucleotide ribosomal RNA is filed under the name Raveniella cirrata. RNAcentral describes it as "partial 5.8S ribosomal RNA". It matches the Rfam family "5.8S ribosomal RNA", at positions 71 to 154 of the family's 154-position model. From Rfam's summary of the family: 5.8S ribosomal RNA (5.8S rRNA) is a component of the large subunit of the eukaryotic ribosome. It is transcribed by RNA polymerase I as part of the 45S precursor that also contains 18S and 28S rRNA. Lineage: Eukaryota; Metazoa; Arthropoda; Arachnida; Araneae; Micropholcommatidae. The record is from RNAcentral.